UAUCUCUGUAGAGUCUGCAUAUCAAUAAGCGGAGGAAAAGAAACUAACUAGGAUUCCCUCAGUAACGGCGAGUGAAGCGGGAAGAGCUCAAAUUUGAAAUCUUCAAGGUUCUACCUUGACGAAUUGUAGUUUAAAGAAGUGUUUUCUGUUGGAUGUUUUGGUAAAAGUUCUUUGGAAUAGGACAUCAUAGAGGGUGAGAAUCCCGUAUUUGACCAUUAUUUCCAGCUUUGUGAUACACUUUCAAAGAGUCGGAUUGUUUGGGAAUGCAGGUCCAAAAUGGGUGGUAAAUUUCAUCUAAAGCUAAAUACUGGCGAGAGACCGAUAGCGAACAAGUACCGUGAGGGAAAGAUGAAAAGAACUUUGAAAAGAGAGUUAAACAGUACGUGAAAUUGUCAAAAGGGAAGCGUUUGACACCAGUGUUGUUUUCUCGAAAAUCAAUUAAAAAAGGCAGGAUUUUGUGUUGUAUUGACUUUAUCAGCUUUCUGCACUCUUUUCUUGUCUUUUUUAAUGCACUUUUCGUUUAACAAGUCAACAUCAAUUUCUUUUGUUGUAAAAGGGUCAUUGGAAGGUGGCUUUCUUUUCGGAGAAAGUGUUUAUAGCCUUUGGCCUCUGCAAUCGGAGAGAUUGAGGUCUGCAGCGUAGAUCCUUCGGGGUUAGAUACAUUUGUGCUAAGUUAUAGCCUUUCAUAGACAACUUGUUGACUAUGAUCAGUCAUGUAGCUUACUCGCUUAUGCUAUUUUACCUACGCUUAGGAUGUUGAAGUCAUCGUAUCGCGC
Molecule: ribosomal RNA, 776 nt
Filed under: uncultured Neocallimastigales
Lineage: Eukaryota; Fungi; Neocallimastigomycota; Neocallimastigomycetes; Neocallimastigales
Description: partial large subunit ribosomal RNA
Rfam family: Eukaryotic large subunit ribosomal RNA
Source: RNAcentral